GAGUCUUAACUGGGCGUUCAGUCUCUGGAUAUAGACCCGAAACCAGGUGAUCUAGCCAUGGGCAGGUUGAAGGUUGAGUAACAUCAACUGGAGGACCGAACCGACUAAUGUUGAAAAAUUAGCGGAUGACUUGUGGCUAGGGGUGAAAGGCCAAUCAAACCUGGAGAUAGCUGGUUCUCCCCGAAAGCUAUUUAGGUAGCGCCUCGGACGAAUACUACUGGGGGUAGAGCACUGUUAAGGCUAGGGGGUCAUCCCGACUUACCAACCCUUUGCAAACUCCGAAUACCAGUAAGUACUAUCCGGGAGACACACGGCGGGUGCUAACGUCCGUCGUGGAGAGGGAAACAACCCAGACCGCCAGCUAAGGUCCCAAAUUACUACUAAGUGGGAAACGAUGUGGGAAGGCUCAGACAGCCAGGAUGUUGGCUUAGAAGCAGCCAUCAUUUAAAGAAAGCGUAAUAGCUCACUGGUCGAGUCGGCCUGCGCGGAAGAUGUAACGGGGCUAAGUAGUAAACCGAAGCUGCGGCAAUGCACUUUAGUGCAUUGGGUAGGGGAGCGUUCUGUAAGCGGUUGAAGGUGUGUGGUAACGCAUGCUGGACGUAUCAGAAGUGCGAAUGCUGACAUGAGUAACGAUAAAGGGGGUGAAAAACCUCCUCGCCGGAAGACCAAGGGUUCCUGUCCAACGUUAAUCGGGGCAGGGUAAGUCGACCCCUAAGGCGAGGCCGAAAGGCGUAGUCGAUGGGAAACGGGUUAAUAUUCCCGUACUUCUUACAAUUGCGAUGGGGGGACGGAGAAGGCUAGGUGGGCCUGGCGACGGUUGUCCAGGUUCAAGUGCGUAGGCUUAAGAGUUAGGUAAAUCCGGCUCUUUCUAAGGCUGAGACACGACGUCGAGCUACUACGGUAGUGAAGUCAUUGAUGCCAUGCUUCCAGGAAAAGCCUCUAAGCUUCAGAUUGUAAGGAAUCGUACCCCAAACCGACACAGGUGGUCGGGUAGAGAAUACCAAGGCGCUUGAGAGAACUCGGGUGAAGGAACUAGGCAAAAUGGUACCGUAACUUCGGGAGAAGGUACGCUCUCGACGG
Molecule: ribosomal RNA, 1080 nt
Filed under: Vibrio harveyi
Lineage: Bacteria; Pseudomonadati; Pseudomonadota; Gammaproteobacteria; Vibrionales; Vibrionaceae
Description: partial 23S ribosomal RNA
Rfam family: Bacterial large subunit ribosomal RNA
Source: RNAcentral